RNAcentral lists this ribosomal RNA (281 nucleotides) under marine sediment bacterium BB0608_AND_4.2_4G0. RNAcentral's name for it is "partial 16S ribosomal RNA". It matches the Rfam family "Bacterial small subunit ribosomal RNA", at positions 84 to 374 of the family's 1533-position model. The record is from RNAcentral.
CCCGCUGACGAGCGGCGGACGGGUGAGUAAUGCAUAGGAAUCUGCCCGAUAGUGGGGGAUAACCUGGGGAAACCCAGGCUAAUACCGCAUACGUCCUACGGGAGAAAGGGGGCUCCGGCUCCCGCUAUUGGAUGAGCCUAUGUCGGAUUAGCUAGUUGGUGAGGUAAAGGCUCACCAAGGCGACGAUCCGUAGCUGGUCUGAGAGGAUGAUCAGCCACAUCGGGACUGAGACACGGCCCGAACUCCUACGGGAGGCAGCAGUGGGGAAUAUUGGACAAUGG